GGGUCAGUAGGUUGGUCGUGCCACCGGUACGUACUGGUCUCACUGAUUCCUCCUUCCUGAAGAACCGUAAUGCCAUUAAUUUGGUGUUGCGGGGAAACAGGGCUGUCACUUUGAAAAAAUUAGAGUGUUUAAAGCAAGCUAACGCUUGAAUACAUUAGCAUGGAAUAAUGAAAUAGGACGAUCGAUCCUAUUUUGUUGGUUUCUAGGAUUGACGUA
Molecule: ribosomal RNA, 216 nt
Filed under: Glomeromycotina sp.
Lineage: Eukaryota; Fungi; Glomeromycota
Description: partial small subunit ribosomal RNA
Rfam family: Eukaryotic small subunit ribosomal RNA (bases 40-216)
Source: RNAcentral